RNAcentral lists this unclassified non-coding RNA (345 nucleotides) under soil metagenome. RNAcentral's name for it is "partial contains 5.8S ribosomal RNA, internal transcribed spacer 2, and large subunit ribosomal RNA". The stretch from base 1 to 119 matches the Rfam family "5.8S ribosomal RNA", at positions 35 to 154 of the family's 154-position model. The record is from RNAcentral.
GAUGAAGAACGUAGCGAAAUGCGAUACGUAAUGUGAAUUGCAAAUUCAGUGAAUCAUCGAGUCUUUGAACGCACAUUGCGCCCCCUGGUAUUCCGGGGGGCAUGCCUGUCCGAGCGUCAUUGCUGCCCUCAAGCACGGCUUGUGUGUUGGGCCCCGUCCUCCGAUUCCGGGGGACGGGCCCGAAAGGCAGCGGCGGCACCGCGUCCGGUCCUCGAGCGUAUGGGGCUUUGUCACCCGCUCUGUAGGCCCGGCCGGCGCUUGCCGAUCAACCCAAAUUUUUAUCCAGGUUGAACUCGGAUCAGGUAGGGAUACCCGCUGAACUUAAGCAUAUCAAUAAGCGGAGGA